AUGUGUGUUCCACCUAGGGGAACGUCCUCGGCCGUCCUCGGCCGAGCGCAUAGCCGUCGCACGGAAGGGAGACGAGGCUACAUCGUCCGAGAGAGAAUAGGCUUGGCCGGGAUGCCCACUUUCUGUUCGACGGAAUGCCGGCCUCGCCAGCGCCAUGCUGGGCGAUCGGCUGUUUACGCAUCGCAUCCUACUCCAUCAGAAUCCUCUAAAGCUGACCAAUGCGACUGUUAUGACCGGGGUAACUUAUACUCAUAG
RNAcentral lists this ribosomal RNA (255 nucleotides) under Triticum aestivum (bread wheat). Its description in RNAcentral is "partial small subunit ribosomal RNA". The record is from RNAcentral. Lineage: Eukaryota; Viridiplantae; Streptophyta; Magnoliopsida; Poales; Poaceae.